AGCUCAAAUUUGUAAUCUGGCGGUCUCUGGCCGUCCGAGUUGUAGUCUGGAGAAGCGUCUUCCGCGUCGGACCGUGUACAAGUCCCUUGGAACAGGGCGUCGUAGAGGGUGAGAAUCCCGUCUUUGACACGGACUGCCGAUGCUUUGCGAUGCGCUCUCGAAGAGUCGAGUUGUUUGGGAAUGCAGCUCAAAACGGGUGGUAAAUUCCAUCUAAAGCUAAAUAUGGGCGAAAGACCGAUAGCGAACAAGUACCGUGAGGGAAAGAUGAAAAGCACUUUGGAAAGAGAGUUAAACAGUACGUGAAAUUGUUGAAAGGGAAACGCUUGAAGUCAGUCGCGUCUCCCGGGACUCAGCCUUGCUUCUGCUUGGUGUACUUCCUGGGGUGACGGGCCAGCAUCGAUUUUGACCGUCGGAGAAGGGCCUUGGGAAUGUGGCACCCUCGGGUGUGUUAUAGCCCUCGGUCGUAUGCGACGGUCGGGAUCGAGGACCGCAGCACGCCUUUUUGGCCGGGGUUCGCCCACGCACGUGCUUAGGAUGCUGGCGUAAUGGCUUUAAGCGACCCGUCUUGAAACACGGACCAAGGAGUCUAACAUGCCUGCGAGUGUUUGGGUGGUAAACCCGGACGCGAAAUGAAAGUGAAAAGUUGGGACCUCUGUCGUGGAGGGCACCGACGCCCGGACCAGACCUUUUUGUGACGGUUCCGAGGUGGAGCAUGCAUGCUGGGACCCGAAAGAUGGUGAACUAUGCUUGAGUAGGGUGAAGCCAGAGGAAACUCUGGUGGAGGCUCGUAGCGAUUCUGACGUGCAAAUCGAU
RNAcentral lists this ribosomal RNA (813 nucleotides) under Gautieria subglobispora. RNAcentral's name for it is "partial large subunit ribosomal RNA". It matches the Rfam family "Eukaryotic large subunit ribosomal RNA", at positions 106 to 902 of the family's 3401-position model. The record is from RNAcentral. Lineage: Eukaryota; Fungi; Basidiomycota; Agaricomycetes; Gomphales; Gomphaceae.